GGGAGCCCAUAAUAUCUACACAGAGGAUGACAUCUUACAACUCUUACACGCCUUUCAGCCAAACACACAACGAGACAUACUCAUUUUCCACUGCGAGUUUUCUUCAGAAAGAGCACCAAAAUUGUGCCGCUAUCUCCGGAACAAAGACCGAGAGCUGAACAGUGACAUGUAUCCGUUUCUAACUUUCCCAGAGUUGUAUAUUUUAGAUGGUGGUUACAAGAGUUUUUACAACAGUUUUAAGUCAUACUGUGAACCAAUUAACUACGUCCCUAUGCUUCACCAAGACCAUGCAGCAGACGUACGCCACUUCCGAUCUAAGUCAAAGUCUUGGACAGCUGGCGAGAAAAGGAAAAGCCCACAACGGUUAUUGUUUUAAAAACGUCUAUAAUUGCAAAUGAUACCUCAACCUUUGCAAAGGAACGAGUGUUUGAAUUGUUUCGAGUUAUGAGAUGUGUAAAAAGUUUACCAAUAUUUAUUUUAUUUGAGAUGUUUAAGUAUUUGGGAUGUUUAAGUAUUUUAGUGCUGGUCACAACAACUUGAAUGUUGUAUAUUUAAAGUUAGUGCUGUAUAUCUGUCCUGAAUGUAUAUUCAGUUUGCUUUUUUAAAUAUUACUUUGUGUAUACAUGUACGUUUCUGACAUUUCUUUCUUUUCUGUAAACAAUUCGAAAUCCCUUCACGGUUUUUAUGUAUAUUUUUAUUACUUAUUGUUUUUGUACUAUUUAUAUAAAUAAAAAAAUAAUCUAA
Mytilus californianus (California mussel) is the source of this 744-nucleotide long non-coding RNA. RefSeq lists it as uncharacterized. The record is from RefSeq and is a predicted model, not a curated record. NCBI's taxonomy places the organism in Eukaryota, Metazoa, Mollusca, Bivalvia, Mytilida, Mytilidae. The transcript is spliced from 3 exons.